GGGAGCUUGCUCCUGGAUUCAGCGGCGGACGGGUGAGUAAUGCCUAGGAAUCUGCCUGGUAGUGGGGGAUAACGUCCGGAAACGGGCGCUAAUACCGCAUACGUCCUGAGGGAGAAAGUGGGGGAUCUUCGGACCUCACGCUAUCAGAUGAGCCUAGGUCGGAUUAGCUAGUUGGUGGGGUAAAGGCCUACCAAGGCGACGAUCCGUAACUGGUCUGAGAGGAUGAUCAGUCACACUGGAACUGAGACACGGUCCAGACUCCUACGGGAGGCAGCAGUGGGGAAUAUUGGACAAUGGGCGAAAGCCUGAUCCAGCCAUGCCGCGUGUGUGAAGAAGGUCUUCGGAUUGUAAAGCACUUUAAGUUGGGAGGAAGGGCAGUAAGUUAAUACCUUGCUGUUUUGACGUUACCAACAGAAUAAGCACCGGCUAACUUCGUGCCAGCAGCCGCGGUAAUACGAAGGGUGCAAGCGUUAAUCGGAAUUACUGGGCGUAAAGCGCGCGUAGGUGGUUCAGCAAGUUGGAUGUGAAAUCCCCGGGCUCAACCUGGGAACUGCAUCCAAAACUACUGAGCUAGAGUACGGUAGAGGGUGGUGGAAUUUCCUGUGUAGCGGUGAAAUGCGUAGAUAUAGGAAGGAACACCAGUGGCGAAG
RNAcentral lists this ribosomal RNA (650 nucleotides) under uncultured Pseudomonas sp. Its description in RNAcentral is "bacterial SSU rRNA". It matches the Rfam family "Bacterial small subunit ribosomal RNA", at positions 74 to 720 of the family's 1533-position model. The record is from RNAcentral. Lineage: Bacteria; Pseudomonadati; Pseudomonadota; Gammaproteobacteria; Pseudomonadales; Pseudomonadaceae.